AUGAGGCCGGAUCCCGCCCCUACAUGCCGCUGCUCAGCACCACCUCGCGCAACCUCGUCAGCCAAGUGCUACGGGGACAGGUUCAUCCCGGACCGGUCAGCGAUGGACAUGGACAUGGCGCACUACCUGCUCACGGAGACCAAGAAGGACAAGGAGAACGCGGCGGCCAUUGCGGCGUCCCCCUCCAAGGAGGCGUACCGGAGGCUUCUCGCGGAGAAGCUGCUCAACAACCGGACGCGGAUCCUCGCCCUCAGGAACAAGCCGCCGGAGCCGGAGAACAUCUUCGCUGCCGACACAGGUUUCUUCUCACCAGGCCAAGCCGGCCAAGCAGAGGCGCUACAUUCCCCAGUCUGCCGAGAGGACUCUGGAUGCACCGGACCUCGUCGACGACUACUACCUCAACCUGAUGGACUGGGGGAGCUUGCGCCGACGCUCUUCAGGAUGGCCCUGCCUCGCGGCCAUCUCCGCGCUGGCCUGUCCCGCCGCAUCUCAAGCUGGUCCGGCUUCACGGCCGUCUCCGCCGUGGCUUUGAGCCGGCCCUGCCUCUACACGCCUCUGCUAUCGCGGGUUUGCACUUCCAAACCGCCGGCGCCACAGCGAGUGGCCAUUCCCGCGGCCUUGCUUUUGCGGUGA
This 633-nucleotide ribosomal RNA is filed under the name Triticum aestivum (bread wheat). Its description in RNAcentral is "partial small subunit ribosomal RNA". The record is from RNAcentral. Lineage: Eukaryota; Viridiplantae; Streptophyta; Magnoliopsida; Poales; Poaceae.